UGUAUAUGUUCUCUUUCUCUGGUGGAUUCAGGUGGGUGAUCAGUGGACAGAACCUUCACGUCCUUGUGAGUCUUUCAGCUGUAGUCAGACAGGAACAGAGGUUGAGAAAACCGUGUGUCCGGUGCAAACCUGUGCUGAGGAUUUACGAGUGUGGGAUGAACAUCACUGCUGCUAUUCAUGUAAUAUUACAUGCACUGCCAGACUGAUAAGGAUGAACCUCACAAUUGCUGAUUGCGCACAGGAAGUCGAGCUGCCCAUUUGUGAGGGCCAGUGUGAGACACACAACAGGUGGGUUCAUACUAAUGGCACACUUCAGCUUGAACAGAGUCACCAGUGCUGUAAGGAGAGAGGUUAUGAGAUGAGAGAAACCACUCUGACUUGCAGUAAAAACUCCCCAACCCACUUCACAUACAGGCAUGUCACAGGCUGCGAAUGCAAGGUUGAAGGUUAAGUUUACCUGACAUACAAAUGUAUGAAAAUGUCAGUUAAUGUUACAUGUGAUUAACUUGGUGUGUGUGUGUGUUGUAUAUGCACACUUAAUAAUUAUCUGCUGAUGUGUGGGAUGAUUUAGUAAAUUUCAGUAUAUUUCAAGCAAAUCAACUUCAUUAAUUGUCAAUCAUCUGUCUGUGCAAAAAUCAAUGCUUUAUCGUUUAAAUAAUAAUC
Molecule: long non-coding RNA, 663 nt
Filed under: Sinocyclocheilus grahami
Lineage: Eukaryota; Metazoa; Chordata; Actinopteri; Cypriniformes; Cyprinidae
Description: lncRNA (ENSSGRG00000016685.1)
Source: RNAcentral